This is a long non-coding RNA of Struthio camelus australis, 1711 nucleotides long. The record is from Ensembl. Lineage: Eukaryota; Metazoa; Chordata; Aves; Struthioniformes; Struthionidae.
CUGCUGGCCACAACAGUCGUGAUAAUCUAGUGGGAUUAGGCAUAUGAUAAAUCAAUGAAAUCAAUGGAAAUUUAAGCAAGAAACAUCCAAGCUAGAAAUCAGACAUACAUUUUUAACAAUGUAAAGCUGAUGACUAGAACGCACUUUCGUCAGGAAAGGGUGGCUUUUGCAUGUCUCAGGCUCUCCACAUCAAGAGAAAACAUCAGUCUGGGAAACAGGCUUUAGUCAGACACAGUUAAGCAGCUCAGCACUGAAGAGAUCCUAGCUAAAACCCUAUAGCCUGGGAUAUGCAGGAAGGCAGAGCAAAUGAGCUACUGGGGACACGCUAACCUUAACAAUGUCUUUUCAUCAUUCCUCCAUCACUUCGGAGCAGAUGUUGCAUAAUUCCAGGUGCAUCCUUGCUCUCUGCUGCCAGAGUCCUUCUCCGAUGCCUUUAAGCUCAUUCCCUCGACUCCAGAGAGGACAAGCCCCACUGAAGCUGAUGCUGUAGCAGUGCAGGAGACUUGGUGCCUGCACUCUGGGGUCCCACCUGCUCCUCAGCCCAAGUCACCCCACUCUGGGCAGCUCUUAGACAUGGAGCCUGCGGCCCAGCACAGGCCUCCAGACCUGGGGAUGGCAGCGCCCGGGAGCCUCAUGAGCGGCAACUCUGCCAGACGCUCACUCCGCCUCCCUGAAUCUCUCAAGCCCAAGGCUGCUUGUAACACUGAGUAAUUUCAAACAAACCAAGCCAAAGUAACAACAACUAAAACUUUCAAAGAUAAUGAAAACUUAGUUUUGAAUAAUCCACAUCACCCAUUCUUCUCCUUGCUGUUGCUCUCCAGGUGUGCAUGGUGAGAUCUUUCUCUUCCAAUUUACUCAAAGGUCUCAAGCCCUUUUGAGACUCUUUGGGUCCUCCUGUAUCACUAGACAUCUCUUCAGACUCUCAAGUGACCUCCUGGAGCAUAUUUAUUAUUACUGCUAUUCCUUAAAUAGCAACAGCAAUGAGCAUGGCCUUACUGGAGCAGGCUCUUGAGCAAGUGAAGACACAGAUUGCUACAUGAAGGCAUUUUCCUGGAGUGCCUCAGUGCCUAGUUCCUGUAUAAAUCAAUUAUCAUUGAUUCAAAUAAUUCUUCUGAAUGAGAGUUAAGCACUGAGGUGCUUCUGAAAAUCCCACAAGGCAUCAAUCUGAACCUCCAGCAGGCAAAGUACCUUUAGAAACCUGGCCCUAAGCAACCCAGAGCCCUAAAUUCCUGUUUCAGAAAUGAAUUAUGCACUUAGGAGACUAUGGCCUGAGAGUAAGAUCCAGGCUUCUGUGUUCCCCACAGGUCUUAAAAUUGAGAUUUGAAAAUCACUUAAGUGGUUCUGAAAUUUUCAUCCAUUCCUCUCAGGAUCAUAAUUCUGUGGUCUUAAUCCUGUGACCAGAUGCAAGGACACGGGUACUGGGGUCCUUGACAGAACCUAUGCAACCCAAGAUGGUUUCCAGGCAAUGUCCUGCCCCCAGAGACAUGCCACAGAGAAAGGAAAUUAGAUGAAACAGUAUGGGAAUAGUAUUGAGCACACACAGCUAACUGGGGACUUUUGCAGAACAGUAUUUUUAUCCUAGCAAAGACUGUGGAGCACUUCAACAGAGGAAGCACUCAGCUGCUGGGGCCUGAUGUCUCACCAAAGGGCAGUGGCUUCCCCCAGAGGGCUGCCUACUGGGGGAUCAGAGUUUGGGGUUAUCAUCUUACUG